This 468-nucleotide ribosomal RNA is filed under the name uncultured bacterium. Its description in RNAcentral is "partial 16S ribosomal RNA". It matches the Rfam family "Bacterial small subunit ribosomal RNA", at positions 28 to 507 of the family's 1533-position model. The record is from RNAcentral.
GACGAACACUGGCGGCGUGCUUAACACAUGCAAGUCGAACGGAAAGACCCUGCUUUUGUGGGGUGCUCGAGUGGCGAACGGGUGAGUAACACGUGAGUAACCUGCCCUUGACUUUGGGAUAACUUCAGGAAACUGGGGCUAAUACCGGAUAGGAGCUCCUGCUGCAUGGUGGGGGUUGGAAAGUUUCGGCGGUUGGGGAUGGACUCGCGGCUUAUCAGCUUGUUGGUGGGGUAGUGGCUUACCAAGGCUUUGACGGGUAGCCGGCCUGAGAGGGUGACCGGCCACAUUGGGACUGAGAUACGGCCCAGACUCCUACGGGAGGCAGCAGUGGGGAAUAUUGCACAAUGGGCGGAAGUCUGAUGCAGCAACGCCGCGUGCGGGAUGACGGCCUUCGGGUUGUAAACCGCUUUCGCCUGUGACGAAGCGUGAGUGACGGUAAUGGGUAAAGAAGCACCGGCUAACUACGUG